Long non-coding RNA from Schistocerca gregaria, 3306 nucleotides. RefSeq lists it as uncharacterized. The transcript has 4 exons. The record is from RefSeq and is a predicted model, not a curated record. NCBI's taxonomy places the organism in Eukaryota, Metazoa, Arthropoda, Insecta, Orthoptera, Acrididae.
CGUUUUGCAUUUGUUUGGGAUUCGGAAGCAAGAAAAAUAAGACAGAAAAAAAAAUUAAUGUUGCUGUAUAACAAUGAAGUUUGAAUACAUACUUCAUGAAUUGCAGGAUGGCUGCGGUGAGUGGUGAUCUUGCUACGGCUGAACCUCAGAUUGGAAGAACAUUGUGUGCCAAUCAGCUCAGCUUAGUAUGCCAUGUGCGCGUUCCUUUCAAUUUUAGCGCGCUAUUCAGUCCAGUCACAGUAUUGAAGAAAAAUUUUGAGGAGAGCAGAUCCCUUCAUGAUUCCAGGAAGGGGCACUCAGGGUGACCAGCCUCAGUUGUAACCCUUUACACUGUGGAAAGAGUGAAAGCCCUAUUCAAUUAGGAGAGGAGUCCAAUAAAUCAAGAAUACGUGAAGCACAUCAACUCAGGAUGUCACAAAGUCUCUUCAGAAGACAGUGAAAGAGAAAUUUAACCUUCUCCUUUACAGAAUCAGCUGUGACAGCCUUUGAAGGACACAUAUGUGGAGCAGCAAUAUUCUUUUGCAAAUUAGAUAACUGAGGACUGUGAAAAAUUAACAGUGGGUAAGUAUCAGAUCUGGUUUAUUGAUGAAGCACACUUCCAUCUCCAUGGGUAUGCCAACAAACAAAACUCGUCUGAACCCUCAGUUCAAGCUGCUGCUUCACUUCAUCCACAAAAUGUCUCUGUUAGAUACAGCAUUAAUUUGUAAACCUGCAUAAUGGCACUGAAUCCUUCAUUACUACAGGCUGAUGCAAGCUGGAGCAAGUCCAUACCACACUGCAGACAGCUUUGAUUUCCUUCAGGCGAUGUUCAAAGAUGUGACUGUUGCUCCGGACACCUUAGCAUUCACUGGACAUGGUGUGGAAUGCCCCCUUCCGGUCCUGAUCUCAACCUGUGUGAUUAUUUCUUAUGGAGUUAUCUAAAGGACAGAGUUUUCAAAGUUGCAACUGCAACACUCUAGGAUCUUUGUACAGCAAUUUCCAGGGAGAUUUGUGCAGUUUAAAAUAAUGAUCUUAAAAAAGUUGUCAUGAAUUUCAGUUCAACACUGUAUGCACUCAUUUCUGCAAUAAGAAAACAUUUUGAAAAUCUUCUGCAUUAAAUUUCAGGUUGUUUUCUGUAACAUAAAUAUUACAACAAAUCUAUCACCUCAUAUUACAUUGUAGUAGACAAAAACUUCCUAACACCUAUUUUGUGCCACAUUGUAGCACAAUAACUUCAGUUUGUUGAUAUUUUAGGUUAAAUUUAGGUGAUAAAUUCGCUUGCACAGUGCUUACUUGCUGCAGUUUUGCCUUGAAAAUGGCUGGUGUGCUCAUGCCGAAAUAUCGGCAGUUGUCGAUGACAUCUCCUGGCUGCAUUCCCGUAACUUAUUAGAACAAUGUAUACGCUGGGAGAAACUAAGGUCUCACAUUGUUUACUUCUUUGGGGAGAAAAAAUAAUAUUGCUUGUGGAGGUUCAAUAAACAUAGCAGCACUGAAGUAAGAUUGCAAUGUGUGUUGUCGCUUUUGCUGAGGAGUCUUGAUCAAAAUAUUGUUCCAAUGUUUUCCAAAGUUGCCCAUCAUUUUAAUUCUCCUGCCACCAAUUGCACCGAGAAACAUGAUGGCCUAGCUCUUGUUCAUGAAAGAACCAUUACACUCGUUGUCAGUUGGACUUGUUUUGGCUUCCUUGCUUGUUGGCUUCAAAAAUCUCAGCUUUUUCUUGGGACUGGCUGGACAGUGCUUCAUGGUUGCAGUCUGACUGGGAAUUUCAUUCAGUAACUGCCUGGCAUUUGGCAAAGUUUGAACGUUUCUGUGGCUCAGAGUCUAAUACUAUAUCUAGACAUUCUGUGGUAAAUCUCAUAGAAAAGCUUUUGACAAUGCAGCUUUAUCCAUGCUAUGGAAUGGUUUAAAUCUUGCACCAACACCCAAGUGUUUGUCAGGGGUUUAUUUUAUUAGUCCAGUUGAAGAGACUGUUUUUAAACUACCUCCUGAUGUUGCAGAGGAGGCUAGGACUGGGGCUUGUCCAACCAAGAGUAAUAUCACAGCGGCUGAGAGGGCUCAUGGCCUCCCCAAGGUCCAGAAGGAGGGGUCCUCUUCAUCUGAUUCUAUGACUAGCCGCGGGAGCCCUGUACCUCUAUUGGAGGAUACCUUUCUAUUCAUGGAGAGGGAUGGUCGACCGCAGUGUCUUGAAUGUCCAAGUAUUUAAUUCUGCGAAGAGGUACAAUAUGCAGUGACAUUAUACACGUCUUCAUGCAGCACACUACGAUCAGGUAGAAGGCGUUGCAAGCAGACAACUGGAAGCCAGGCUUAAGAACGACAUACCAGGAGACGUGAAUGAGAGCAGAGAAAACACUACUGAAUCUGCAAUUCGAGCAAGCUACAGGGCCGCUCACAUCAUUGCGACGAGUGGCAAGCCGUUUUCGGUGGGACCACUUGUAAAAUCGUGCAUGGUAGCAGUUGCAGAAUGUUUGUUUCCAAGGGAGGUGCAGGCAAUUGAAGGGGUUUGCCUGUCGAAGCAAACAAUGUCUCGUCAAAUCCUGGACAUGGCAGCGGAUUUAGACACACAGCUCAGGAAAAAAGCAGAGAGCUUUGUUGCAUUUUCGCUAGCACUUGACAAAAGCACCGACAUAUCGGACUGUGCUGAGCUUGCAGCUAAUCGUUGACAUGGAUGACCAGAUCCAUGGAAAAUUUAUGUUUAUUUGAGAGGCAGAUGAGUAAUGGACAUUUAACGUUCUUCAAUUGUCUUGCUUCUUUAAAACUACCUGAAGGUAGUACUUUCGGCGAUUACGAAGCAAAGUUAAAUCAGCUCAUCACAUCGUUUGAAACACAAUUCAGAGACCUCACUAGUUUGGAAAUGGAACUUAAGGUGUUCAGCACCCCUUUUCCAGUUUUCCCUGAUGACUUGUCAUCGUUACCUCAAUUGGAGAGUAUUGAUUUGCAAAAUUCAACUUUGUUGAAAGAGAGGUACUACAACACGUUAGAUUUGUCACGAUUGUAACAUUCAUUACAGCAAAAGGCAUUUCCCAAGCUUCACAACAAUGCCACUCAGAUAUUGUGCAUGUUUGGAUCUACAUAUUGUUGUGAGCAGCUUUUCUCAGCAAUGAAAAGAGUAAAAAGUAAGGAACGAUCGUUUCUUCAGGAUGCAACAAUGAAGGCCAUCCUCCGCAUUAACGCUGCAAACACUUUGACAUCUAAUAUUUCCGAUCUUGUAAUGAAAAGAAAAUGUCAAGCUACAGAGGCCCAAUAAAUUUAGUAUGCAACUUCUUGUAAAACAGUUGUUUCUUAUUUAUUUCCUGGACAUUGUAUUUCCUGGUGUAGCUUGUCACCAUGUCG